GGCUGGGGGUGUAGCUCAGCGGUAGAGCACCUUGGGUUCAAUCCCCAGUAC
Molecule: microRNA precursor, 51 nt
Filed under: Ictidomys tridecemlineatus (thirteen-lined ground squirrel)
Lineage: Eukaryota; Metazoa; Chordata; Mammalia; Rodentia; Sciuridae
Description: miRNA (ENSSTOG00000020027.1)
Source: RNAcentral